Molecule: ribosomal RNA, 459 nt
Filed under: uncultured bacterium
Lineage: Bacteria
Description: partial 16S ribosomal RNA
Rfam family: Bacterial small subunit ribosomal RNA
Source: RNAcentral
CCUACGGGAGGCAGCAGUGAGGAAUAUUGGUCAAUGGCCGGAAGCCUGAACCAGCCAAGCCGCGUGAGGGAAGACGGUGCCAUGGAUUGUAAACUUCUUUUGCCAGGGGACAAAAACAGGCACGAGUACCUGAUCGAGAGUACUUGGAGAAAAAGCAUCGGCUAACUCCGUGCCAGCAGCCGCGGUAAUACGGAGGAUGCGAGCGUUAUCCGGAUUUAUUGGGUUUAAAGGGUGCGUAGGCGGCCUGUUAAGUCAGCGGUAAAAGUCCGGGGCUAAACCCCGGCGAGCCGUUGAAACUGGCUGGCGUGAGAGGGCGAGAGGUAUGCGGAAUGCGCGGUGUAGCGGUGAAAUGCAUAGAUAUGGCGCAGAACUCCGAUUGCGAAGGCAGCAUACCGGCGGCGAUCUGACGCUGAGGCACGAAAGCGUGGGUAUCGAACAGGAUUAGAUACCCGAGUAGUC